RNAcentral lists this transfer RNA (82 nucleotides) under Lachnospiraceae bacterium TWA4. It matches the Rfam family "tRNA". From Rfam's summary of the family: Transfer RNA (tRNA) molecules are approximately 80 nucleotides in length. Their secondary structure includes four short double-helical elements and three loops (D, anti-codon, and T loops). Further hydrogen bonds mediate the characteristic L-shaped molecular structure. tRNAs have two regions of fundamental functional importance: the anti-codon, which is responsible for specific mRNA codon recognition, and the 3' end, to which the tRNAs corresponding amino acid is attached (by aminoacyl-tRNA synthetases). tRNAs cope with the degeneracy of the genetic code in two manners: having more than one tRNA (with a specific anti-codon) for a particular amino acid; and 'wobble' base-pairing, i.e. permitting non-standard base-pairing at the 3rd anti-codon position. The record is from Rfam by way of RNAcentral. Lineage: Bacteria; Bacillati; Bacillota; Clostridia; Lachnospirales; Lachnospiraceae.
GCGGAUGUGGCGGAAUUGGCAGACGCGCUGGAUUUAGGUUCCAGUGGGGCAGCCCGUGCAGGUUCAAGUCCUGUCAUCCGCA